AGUGAACGCUGGCGGUAGGCCUAACACAUGCAAGUCGAACGGCAGCACAGUAAGAGCUUGCUCUUACGGGUGGCGAGUGGCGGACGGGUGAGGAAUACAUCGGAAUCUACUUUUUCGUGGGGGAUAACGUAGGGAAACUUACGCUAAUACCGCAUACGACCUACGGGUGAAAGCAGGGGAUCUUCGGACCUUGCGCGAUUGAAUGAGCCGAUGUCGGAUUAGCUAGUUGGCGGGGUAAAGGCCCACCAAGGCGACGAUCCGUAGCUGGUCUGAGAGGAUGAUCAGCCACACUGGAACUGUGACACGGUCCAGACUCCUACGGGAGGCAGCAGUGGGGAAUAUUGGACAAUGGGCGCAAGCCUGAUCCAGCCAUACCGCGUGGGUGAAGAAGGCCUUCGGGUUGUAAAGCCCUUUUGUUGGGAAAGAAAAGCAGCAGGUUAAUACCCCGCUGUUCUGACGGUACCUAAAGAAUAAGCACCGGCUAACUUCGUG
RNAcentral lists this ribosomal RNA (492 nucleotides) under uncultured bacterium. RNAcentral describes it as "partial 16S ribosomal RNA". It matches the Rfam family "Bacterial small subunit ribosomal RNA", at positions 29 to 507 of the family's 1533-position model. The record is from RNAcentral.